GAUCACUUGCCUUUUUCCAUAACUGACCUGCCCCUUAGUAAGUCAAAAACUUGUGUUUCCCACAUCUUGUGGGGUUAUUUGUAUAUCUCAGGUGAAUAGAGAAAUGAUUAAUUGUUGAAAAAUUAAAAUUAUUAUGGGGAAAGAACGCCAGCAGAAGGUAGCUUCUGCUGGAAUAGUACUUGUAACUGCAAGGUGGGCCCUGUUUUCAGUUUGUAAGUAGAACAUUUAGAAGCUUGUCAACAUAUUAAAAAAUGGUCUUCUCUUUAAGCAUGAAAGAUUGAGUGAAAAGAGUUUUCAAGGAAAGGAUAUUUGAGAUUGCUUUUAUGUAUUUUUUUAAUAUUUCAGGGAACCUAAUGGGAAAUUCCAGCACUCAGCCCAUGUGUCUGUAAUUUAGCCCAUGUGUCUGUAAUAUGAUAAUGUUGAGAUAUCAAAGUGUAUUCUCUGCAGAUAUUUCACUAAGUAAUUUGAAUGCGUGACUUAGUGCCAUAGAGGAAGAUACUUUGCUAAGGAGGGGUUGAGGGGCAGGGCAGGGGUGGGAGUGUCCCAAUGGGGUGGACUCAGGAUUGGACAGUCACUGUGAGGGCAUGACCCAC
This 593-nucleotide long non-coding RNA is filed under the name Bos taurus (domestic cattle). Its description in RNAcentral is "long non-coding RNA NONBTAT001568". The record is from RNAcentral. Lineage: Eukaryota; Metazoa; Chordata; Mammalia; Artiodactyla; Bovidae.